RNAcentral lists this ribosomal RNA (911 nucleotides) under uncultured bacterium. RNAcentral describes it as "bacterial SSU rRNA". It matches the Rfam family "Bacterial small subunit ribosomal RNA", at positions 9 to 911 of the family's 1533-position model. The record is from RNAcentral.
GAGUUUGAUCCUGGCUCAGAUUGAACGCUGGCGGCAUGCCUUACACAUGCAAGUCGAACGGCAGCACGGGGGGUAACCCCUGGUGGCGAGUGGCGAACGGGUGAGUAAUACAUCGGAACGUAUCCUGUAGCGGGGGAUAACCUCUCGAAAGAGAGGCUAAUACCGCAUACGACCUACGGGUGAAAGAGGGGGAUCGCAAGACCUCUCACUAUUGGAGCGGCCGAUGUCGGAUUAGCUAGUUGGCGGGGUAAAAGCCCACCAAGGCUACGAUCCGUAGCUGGUCUGAGAGGACGACCAGCCACACUGGAACUGAGACACGGUCCAGACUCCUACGGGAGGCAGCAGUGGGGAAUUUUGGACAAUGGGCGCAAGCCUGAUCCAGCCAUGCCGCGUGGGUGAAGAAGGCCUUCGGGUUGUAAAGCCCUUUCGGCUGGGACGAAAAGAUUCGGGUUAAUAACCCGGAUCCAUGACGGUACCAGCAGAAGAAGCACCGGCUAACUACGUGCCAGCAGCCGCGGUAAUACGUAGGGUGCAGGCGUUAAUCGGAAUUACUGGGCGUAAAGCGUGCGCAGGCGGUCUGCUAAGAGAGGUGUGAAAUCCCCGGGCUUAACCUGGGAACUGCGCUUCUAACUGGCAGGCUUGAGUGUGGCAGAGGGGGGUGGAAUUCCACGUGUAGCAGUGAAAUGCGUAGAGAUGUGGAGGAACACCGAUGGCGAAAGCAGCCCCCUGGGCUAACACUGACGCUCAUGCACGAAAGCGUGGGGAGCAAACAGGAUUAGAUACCCUGGUAGUCCACGCCCUAAACUAUGUCAACUGGUUUGUCGGGGAAGCAAUUCCUUGGUAACGAAGCUAACGCGUGAAGUUGACCGCCUGGGGGAGUACGGCCGCAAGGUUAAAACUUCAAAGGAAUU